AGGCCCGGUUGUACAAUCGAAGUUCAACUCCGGCUCAGCGCCAUUACCGAGUUCAGGGCAAGAAGUGCGUUGUACAUACAAAGUUUAAUUCUUGAACUCGGUUUAAGCCCGGGUUCAGCUGAGCGGCCGAUGUUCGACGGUUCAACGCUGGUUCAAGGAUUUUUAACCUCAGAUUUUUGUCAUUGUCAACGGAAAUCAUAAUAUUUACACCUUAAAAAUGAACUUCAUUGAAAAUUUAACUAAUAAUGAAGGAUUUCUGGAAAUGAUAAAUAUUGUAGAAGGAAGGAGAACACAGAAACAGUGUAAGGCUAGAGAAAAUCAUUUUGAAAAAUGGAAUGAUAAUGAAUUUUUGCAAAGAUUUUGGAAUGCUGGAAAUGCUUGGCAAAGAAAGUGCUGUUCAGUUCACUAUUUGCAUGAAACUAAUGCUCAUAGAAUAAAAAAUCGAACAGAUAGGUAAGAACGAAAACAAGUGGCAAAUUUGUUAUUGACAUUUCAAGAACCAUAGGCUGUAUCUUCUAAGAACAUGGUUUUUAUUGCCUUAAAUUAAGGUUUUGUGCAGUGAAGUGGACCCAUAUCACUGGUUUUAAGCAACAGGCUUCUUUUUGCAACUUAUGGAUGAUUUUGAAGCAAAUGUAGAAAAUGAUUUUGUUAAUUUAUUAAAUUAAAUGUACCUACCUACAUAAUUUAUUAAUAAAUCUAAAAUUAAUUAUAUUUGUACCAUGCUUAUUUAGGUACAUAUCACUUUAUUUAAUAAUGAUUACAAACUAAUUUACAUUCUAAAAUUAUUUAAAUACCCUACCUACUUCCCUAGAAUAAGGCAAAUAUUAACAUUUUUGAGUGAAUUUGAAAUCAUAGCUGUAAACAGUUAAAAAUAUUUAUGAGAAGGGAAUGUGAAGAUUGAAUUAGUAUCUUCGUUGGUGAUAGUGGUUACGGAGUCAAGAAAAACCUAAUAACACCCUUACGCAAUCCUUCAUCACAAGCUGAAAUUUUAUUUAAUGAGGCAAAAUGAGAAUGCAUAGACACAAUUGAAUGGGUCUACCGAAUAACAAUUGUUAAGUGCCAUGUGAUUCGUUUUUACGAAAUCGAACAAAAACUAGUAUAAUGAUAAAUUUAUACAUUUAAGGGUUAGUUAUUAAUACAGUUUGUAACUAACUGUACUGUAAACUGUAUUACUAAUCCUUUUUUUAAUGGCAUUGACUGUAUGUCAAUCAGCCAGUCAAAACAUGACUAAUUAAGAAGAAUAUACAUUCAAAGACCGUAAAGUUUAUAAAAUAUCAAUAACGAAGAAAAGUUAGUUCAGUUGAGAUGUAAUUUAAGUACUGAAAUUAAACAGAUGGUACUAAGCUGAAGUAAUUAAUUACUAAUCCUUAAAAUGUAUAAAUUUACCAUUAUUAUAAUUUUAACAGUUCUUGUUAGAUUUCUUAAAAACGAAUCACAUGGCACUUGUUAUUCGGCAGACACAUUGAAUUAUAAUUGGAACAUCAAUGUUACACAAUAUUACAAUGCAUUUUAAUAACCUUUUGCCCAUACUACAUGAAGAAGAGGAAGUAGCAAUGGCUUUAGCCAAAAAUUUAGAAAAUCUAACUGUCUAGAGAAUCAUGAGAAGUACAAUUUAUCAAACAUAGGAAGAGGUUGAAAAUCUUGUGCAUGAAUACUUUGUUAAUUUAAAAUUUAGAUAUUUAAACUAAUACUUAUAACAACUAUUAGAUAGGUAUUUAUAAAAAUAUCUUACUAUCUGCUACAAUCAAUGGCUUUGAUAAACUUCUCUAAAAUUUUGGGGGCUGGACAUGUAUUUCAUUUUAUUUUGUACAAUUUUGCUGUAUUGUUUGGCCACAGAUACCAAUAUUUCUUCUUGAGAGGUGAAAUUGGAAGGUAUUUUUGCGUCCAUUGUAGAAAAAAAUACUAACAAACAAUUUUUUACAAAAAGAAAAUAAACACAUUGCAAUAAUAUCCUAAUACUUAUAAUACCUAUUCAAAUGAUCUGUUCACAAAUUUAACGUAGGAAAUUGAUUAAACUAAUAAACUAAACGAUAAAAAAUACCAAUUAAACUAAUAAUACAGUAAUAAAAUAAUUAUAUUGACAAAAACCAAAUAGGUAAUAAUACAUAAAUGGCGGGAAAAUUUAUGUCGAAAAUUGAUGGGAAUUGCUUUGAAUACGCAUGCCUUACAUUGCCAACCUUACCAAAAUUUGUAUAAACCUCGGCUUAACUGAACUCGGCAUUGAACAACCCGAAUGAAGUUAAACCGACGCUCAAAAUUGAACCCGGUUCAACUAAGCGAUGGCUUAAGCCACCAAUGUACAAUCGGGCCUUAAAGAUACGAAGAAUAUACGACAACUCUCAAAAAGGUACGCAAAUCGGAUAAUUAUCCGCCGAUUGGCAACACUGGUAUGGAGGCUAUGUACCUAGCAUGGAGGCUAGAUUAUGGCACCCUUCCUAUCCAAUAUCCAAUCAACAACAAGAACGUUUAAAAUUUCACACCUAUCAUGUCGAAGCUACAGACCACUUAUGUGGAGGCCAGAUUUGUAGUAUCCUUCCAUUUAACCAGGUGCUGAGAUGGCGCUGAAAUACGUGACAUGUUUUUUAAAGAGAUCGCAUUCUACCAAAUCACACAACACACAACACUUUUUACUUUUUUCUAUGUUUUGUAACAUCCUUUAUCCUUUUUGUUUGUAUGUUUGAUUUUUGAUGUUUGUAUUUGUUGUAUGUUUCCAGUAUUUUUGUUCCAGUGAUAAGUAGUAUGAUUUAUUAACUAUGGAAAUGGAAUUUAAAAUUGAGUAACAGUUUGUUGAAUAUGACCAAAGAUAUAGAAAGUGAGUUGUCCAAAUCAACAGAUCUUGGAAACUUUAAGCAGGAACCAGAAGAUGAGUCAACUAUGGAAGUAAAAGAUGAAAUUAAGGAAGAGUCUGAAGAGGACCAAGGAUAUAUGGAAAGUCAACUAUCCAGGACCCUUGAUCUGGGAGACUUGAAGAAUGAACCAGAUAAAGAUAAUUUAGAUGUUUCCCAGAAGAAAUUAUCAGAAAUCGAAGUUAACAACACAUUAGCUGAACAUGCAUGUAAUAAAAAACAAGAAAUAAGUCUUAAUCCUGAUGACACAGCACUUACAAAUUAUAUUUCUUCUGAUGGCUUCCCUUACAAAAAUAAUUUCAAGGAACAUACGAAUGAUCAGACUGAAGGAAAGCUUCACAAAUGUGAAAUUUGUUUUAAGCAAGUUACUACAGCAACUGGUUUGAAAAGACAUUUAAGAGUGCACACUGGACAAACGCCUUAUCAGUGUGAAAUUUGUUUUAAAUUGUUCAAUCAAGCAAAUAAUUUGAAAACACAUUUCAGAUUACAUACUGGAGAAAAACCUUAUGAGUGUAAAAUUUGUUUUAAGCAGUUUAGUGAAAUGGACAAUUUGAAAACACAUUUAAGGAUACACACUGGAGAGAAGCCGUACACGUGUGACAUUUGUUUUAAGCAAUUUAAUCAAACGAGUCAUUUGAAAACACAUUUCAGAGUGCACACUGGAGAAAAGCCUUAUAAGUGUGAAAUUUGUUUUAAACGGUUUAGUCGAACAGAAGAUUUGAAAAUACAUUUAAGAGCGCGCACUGGAGAAAAGCCGUAAAAGUGUGAAAUUUGUUUAAAGAAGUUUACUACAAGAAGUCAAUUGAAAACACAUUUGAGAAUACACACUGGAGAAAAAACUUACAAGUGUGAAAUUUGUUUUAAGUAGUUUAGUGAAAUGGGCAAUUUGAAAACACAUUUAAGAGUACACACUGGAGAAAAGUCUUAAAAGUGUGAAAUUUGUUUUAAGCAGUUUACUCAAGCAGGUACUUUGAAAUGCCAUCUGAGAUCACACAACUAAAAAGGAUGUGAGAUUUGUUAUAGGUACUUUUCUCGAAAUUUCUGGUCUCAUGUUUGAGAAAUUAAUAUCUAACUUGAGUUGAACGUCUGAGCAAAGUAAGAAAUAUGGAUGUAAACAGAUGGACAGUUCGUCGACGACUUUUAAAGGGUAAUUUAUUAUCCAGACGGGUAGGACUAUCUUCACUACCUUCCACAAAAAUCGCAGAGCUCGCCUUGACUUUGCAAUAGAACUGAAGUGAUGCAGGUUGGAGCAAUGUAUUGAUCUCAGAUGAGUCCAGAUUUUGUCUGAGGUCACCAGAUGACCGAGAUAGGAUUUGGAAAAGAGAAGGAGAGCGAUGUUUUAAAUGCAAUAUUGCGAAAGAAUAAGUAGGGGGCACUCCCUUAUGAUUUUUGCUGGUAUAAGUUCAGAAGCCCAUACUGAUUUAGUUAUUGCGGAUAGAUGUUCUAUGUUCUGCAAGAUACAUAACAAGUAGUAUUUUAGAUCAGUAUGUGGUACCUGUUUCUCCUUUCAUUUAACCUUAUUUCAUUUUUAUGGACGACAACGCGCGUCCUCACCAUGCUGGAAUCGUCAACCAAUAUAUAGAGAAGAUGUUUCCCAGAAGAAAUUAUCAGAAAUCGAAGUUAACAACACAGCUGAACAUGAAUGCAAGAAAAAACAAGAAAUAAGUCUUAAUCAUGAUGACAUAGCACUUAC
This 4539-nucleotide unclassified non-coding RNA is filed under the name Diabrotica virgifera virgifera (western corn rootworm). RNAcentral's name for it is "zinc finger protein 664-like". Lineage: Eukaryota; Metazoa; Arthropoda; Insecta; Coleoptera; Chrysomelidae. The record is from RNAcentral.